AUUGAACGCUGGCGGAAUGCUUUACACAUGCAAGUCGAACGGCAGCACGGGGGCAACCCUGGUGGCGAGUGGCGAACGGGUGAGUAAUACAUCGGAACGUGCCCAGUCGUGGGGGAUAACGUAGCGAAAGUUACGCUAAUACCGCAUACGAUCUACGGAUGAAAGCGGGGGACCGUAAGGCCUCGCGCGAUUGGAGCGGCCGAUGUCAGAUUAGGUAGUUGGUGAGGUAAAGGCUCACCAAGCCGACGAUCUGUAGCUGGUCUGAGAGGACGACCAGCCACACUGGGACUGAGACACGGCCCAGACUCCUCCGGGAGGCAGCAGUGGGGAAUUUUGGACAAUGGGCGCAAGCCUGAUCCAGCCAUUCCGCGUGCAGGAUGAAGGCCCUCGGGUUGUAAACUGCUUUUGUACAGAACGAAAAGGUUUCUACUAAUACUAGGAGCUCAUGACGGUACUGUAAGAAUAAGCACCGGCUAACUACGUGCCAGCCGCCGCGGUAA
RNAcentral lists this ribosomal RNA (500 nucleotides) under uncultured bacterium. RNAcentral's name for it is "partial 16S ribosomal RNA". It matches the Rfam family "Bacterial small subunit ribosomal RNA", at positions 30 to 523 of the family's 1533-position model. The record is from RNAcentral.